UGUGUGUGUGUACUGACCUGGAAGCCUUCCCUCUCCAGCAGAGCCCUGCAGAAUGACAGAUCAAACCUGGGGUUCAGCAUGGAGGAGAUGUUCUUCUGUUUUCUGUCUGGAUCUUGGAUGAUCGUCGUAGGUCAACUUCCACAUCGCUCUCGUCUGAAGGCACAGACGUCUUGUCCUCCAUCUCAUCCAUGAUGACGAGACACUGAACGAGCAAAAAACUGUGAUACAGUUUAAUCAAAAUCACCAACCAUAAUUCAGACGAAGUGAGUAAGAGUGGUGUGAAUGGCCAGUGUGAUGACUGCCAGUGUGAUAUACAGUGCAGCAACACAGUUCCAUUAGCCUGGUCUCAGAUCUGUUUAUGCUCUCUUGUCAACUCCUACAAUGACUAGUGGAGACAGCACAAAAAUAUCUGGGUCCAGGCUACAGCUUUUUUGCUCAAGCAGAGAGAUGUGUUGGCAUGAUUAUGACACCACUUCCUAGUUCUCAUGUAUCGUAGACUGUCAGAUACAGUAUGUGUAGGAUGUAUACACAGUAUUAUGAAGUAAGUACUAACACUACAGCUUGCAAGAAGCACAAGCAGCACAUUCCAGUGACAUGCAAAACAAACAAAGACAUUGAAAUUGAGAAAAUUUGACCAAAUAUUCCCCCAGUAGAUAAUGUUUUCCUGAGGCAUAGCUUAAACUGUAAUCUCGGGUAUAGCAGAACUAACAUCUUGUGUAAUGUUGUCGCGUGCGCAGAAUCUGUUCACAAGAGAUGAAUUAUACCGUUCAGCAUCUUGGAGAAACCAACAGAAUAAUUCAACUGUGCUGCCAAGGAUUUCAGAUUCAGCACUUUCAACACAAGUUUAAACAAUAAUUUAAGUCGUAGACUGAGUAGACGGUUUUACUGUCAUUGUAAUUUCCUUUACUAUCCAAGUAUACUGAACUUAGGUGUAGCGAAAGGCAACUACACUUGUCUUUCAAAUGUGAACUUUUCUCUUUUCUCAGGCUACACUCUUCACAGGUUUCUGUUGAAAGUGGUUAAACUGUACCACGGUUAUAAGAUAGACAUACUGCACCUCAAUAGGCACUGUCUUCAACGCCCCACACACAGCCAAAUUAUCGCUUUCCUUUUAGCAACUACAAAAUCUGUGAAAGAGAAAUAAUGAAAAUAGAGAAGAGACUGAGAGAGCAGCUAUAUCUUUGUUCUUUCUCUCCCUCUCCCAUCCUCCCUCUCUCCCUCUGCCGCUUUGUCUCUCUCGUUUGCUUGUUAGAGAGGGAGACAAAUGUUUUGCACAAAUGCUGUCGGCGAGGUUGAUUUCAAGUUGUCUCCUUAUCCCUACCGUAGUUCUCUCUCCCCCUCUCCCUCAUUCUAUCUCUCUCCCCCUUCUCUCUCAUUCUAAUUCUCUCCCCCUUCUCUCUCGCUCUCUCUCUUUCACUCUCAGGCACACACUCUCUUACUCUCACUUCCUCCCUGCUGUCAGUGAGUUGUGACAUCUUGCCAACUUUGAAACCGUUUGACUCUAUGUUUCUGUGCACGUGUUGUAAAGAAAAGUGCAUGUCUACAAUGUUAUGCGAAUGAGUGUAUGUAGCUGUGUAUAACCAUGUGAUCUGUGUGUGUGUGUGUGUGUGUGUGUGUGUGUGUGUGUGUGUGUGUGUGUGUGUGUGUGUGUGUGUGUGUGUGUGUGUGUGUGUGUGUGUGUGUGUGUGUGUGUGUGUGUGUGUGUGUGUGUAUCUGUGUAUGCAGGUUUAAUGACAGAGAAUAACAAAAUAUUUUAAGCAAGAACCAUCGCUUCCUCUUGGCUGAGUACUCCCCUCGUGUUUUCUCUUGAUCGAGUUCCUUCCGAACUCUAGGUAUGGUUCUUAAAGAUGCAAACAAUUUCAGAGAAUCAUAAAGUUUAGCAGUGACAGUGAGGUGCUGAACGUAAAGGAAGACACACGACUAAUAGGAGAACUCACCAGAGACUAUUUAAUGUAGAGUCUAUCACAUGAUCAAGAGCUUCCUACCCACUCGCAUUCAACGUAAUGCAGUUCCAGUAUUACAGUGUGACCAUCUUGCCUUCCAACUACACUGCAAUGCCUCUGGAACCAGACUCCCUGUAUCCCCCUGUAUUCUUUCAUUUACUACCCACUUUAAGCCCCCCUCCCCUUCCCCACACACAGUCUCUAACUCUCUCUCUCUCAAGUCAAUUCCAGUUUAAGGGGUUUAUUGGCAUGGGAACCUCUCUCUCCCAGCUUUGUGACUUAGAUCAGCCGGACCACAUGACUGGUGGAAUGCGGCAUAUGCUUCUCAGCCCAGCAAAGAGAAUAGAGUGAGUGAGAAAGUGAAUGAGAAAAUGUGUCCAAAUUGGGUAUUGUCUGCAUGCAUAACCAUAUCUGUGUAGGGUCUCGUGUUAAUGACAUAGCAAUGUACCAAAACACAAUGACAACAAGCUUUCUUUAACAAAUGGAUAUAAGCUGGCAGAGUAGGAUCCUACUUGAACUAUAUGAGGCAUCAAUGCGCGCGCGCGCACACACACACACACACACACACACACACACACACACACACACACACACACACACACACACACACACACACACACACACACACACACACACACACACACAAACAAACUCAUACACACUAUUCCUUACCUACCUUAGAUUGUUGUUGUUAUCCUAGCCAGUGUGGGUGUGGAUCUGGAUUUCUGGGAGACAGCAGCUGUUCUCCAGGCGGUCAUGACUCUGGUCUGGUGGUCUGCUGCUGGGGGCUGGCACUGUCACACAUUAACACAUGCCCCAGAGCCCAGAGGGGCACAGUGAGAGGUCACGCACAGGCAUGCACGCACACACCAUUCUGCAUUGACGGAUCAUAUACGGUCUCUGGGACAAAUGUGCACAGGUGCAUGCACGCACGCGUGCACGAGCAGACACACAUACACAGACACACACACUAACACAGGCACGCACACACACGUACACUUGGACGGAUCACAUACGGUCUUUGGGACGGAUACGCACGUACACACUGACAAAUGAGAACAGGCAGAGUGAUGCAUGCUAUUGAUUGUAACUUGGUACCAUGGAAAUCUGUAUAAUUAUGUGAGACUAACCAGUUGACCUGAAAGAAGAUCUAGAAACCACAAUCUGAUGACUCGUGAUAAAAGUGUGAACAAUGUUGACUUGGUGUUUCAAUGUUUUUUUACUCUGGACAUAGCAGACUACAAUAAACCUUGUGACUGGAACAUGGCACAACACAGGCAUGGUGGCCAGUCUUUCACUUCACUAAAGUGCUCAGGCGAGUACGCCAUCUUGUAUGAAGGAGUUAAUAAAAUGGAAUACUUAGUUGUGCGUAGCACGAGUCAUCAUCAUUGAUGUCAAGAGUGAUUAACACAAUGUUUAGCAUAUUUAUAUAUUUCCCCAUAAUGUAAUUCCCAUGAUUUCCAGUGUUCUGUUUGUAAUGGUCACUAGAUGCUGUAUGUUAUGGAUUAAACUCAUAUCUCUUGAAAGUGAUUGAUGCUAGGCUGGAGGUACAAGGACUGAGGACAGACUGAUUAUUAUUGUAGUCUGUGAUACACUGUGUGAUUAUGUAGCAGCUGAUAAAGUUACUGCUUUUUGUUUUGAGUUCCUACAAGCCUCUCGGGCUGGUGUUUACAGAACAUUUAGUGCUGUCUGAUUAGAAUAUAACGGAUGUGUCUCCAAGAGGCCAUAUAGACAUUCUCUCUGCUUCUAUGCUGGUUGUUGUCUCCCUAUUGCAGCUUGUAUUAAACUGUAUUGAUUUAUGAUUGAC
Molecule: long non-coding RNA, 3750 nt
Organism: Oncorhynchus masou masou (cherry salmon)
Lineage: Eukaryota; Metazoa; Chordata; Actinopteri; Salmoniformes; Salmonidae
Exons: 2
Source: RefSeq, a predicted model, not a curated record